This is a non-coding RNA of Sciurus carolinensis (gray squirrel), 625 nucleotides long. Lineage: Eukaryota; Metazoa; Chordata; Mammalia; Rodentia; Sciuridae. The record is from the annotation of a RefSeq genome assembly.
UGGUAACAGAGCCUAAAUUCAUCCCGAUACCAGGCGGCUCUUUGCUUCCGAUGCUGCCAUGAGCACCAGGCUCCUCUGCUGUGUGGCCCUUUGUCUCCUGAAAGCAGGCCUCAAGGAUGCUGUAGUCACACAGUUCCCAAGACACAAGAUCUCUAGGACAGGAAGAGAAGUAACUCUACAGUGUUCCCAGAAUAUGAACCACCUUGCAAUGUACUGGUAUCGACAAGACUCAGGAUUGGGGCUGCAGCUGGUCUAUUACUCACGCAAUACUGACAUCAUUGAAAAAGGAGAUGUCCCUGAGGGGUACCGUGUCUCCCGACGUGAGAAAGGGCAUUUCCCCCUUACCCUGGAGUCUGCCAGUGCCAACCAGACAUCUGUGUACCUCUGUGCCAGCAGUGAAUCCACAGCACCACACAGCCACUUCCUCUCUGCUCAAAAAGGGGCAAACCAAGGAGGGGUUGCCCUGCCCUCCACAUCCCUCCUCCCAACCUGGAGAGGUUUCCCUGGGACUGCACCAAGCCCCACCCUGCACUUGAUAUUCCCAGCUCCCCUUUCCCUGUUCUUGUCCUUCCGGGACACCUUUCCUAUUGAAAUCAGUCUUUGCCCCUCCUCGAUAUCCCACUAA